Molecule: long non-coding RNA, 468 nt
Filed under: Mytilus galloprovincialis (Mediterranean mussel)
Lineage: Eukaryota; Metazoa; Mollusca; Bivalvia; Mytilida; Mytilidae
Source: RNAcentral
CCUUGACCUUUGACUUUGACCUUAUUUUCAUUUUUUUGGACAAAGGAACUUAAAUCCAAAGACCCUAGGCCUAUAUCACUGAUGGUUUACCAGUUAGAAACGCAUAUCACUUAUAUCAAAUGCAUAAGGGGAAAUAACUCUCAUAUGGAGUCUCCGGAUAGCUUCAGUCCAAAUGAAUAUCCUAAUCCUGAAGAAGUAACGAGCAAUUUGGUAAAAUAAAUUUGUCGUUAUCUUUUACGGUUGCGAAGUAGUAGUGGCCACAAGAAAAACAGUGUUCGGGGAGAUAACUCAUACAAGGUAAAGUAUUUUGUUACGCGGUUGUAAAUUUUUAAAGCGCAUAAACUAUACGAUAUCAUAUUCCAAAUGUCUAAGCGACAACUUAUUAAACAACAAUACUACGCACCGAAAAAAAUUAGGCGGAGAAGAAAAAAAAAAAUAAUAAUAAUAAUAAUAAUAAUAAUAAUCAGA